UCUAAAAUAUUUCCCUUCUCUACAAAAACAAUAUUAUUGCCAAUGUUCCCACUGCUCUUAUUAUUCCUAGCUACACUUGUAGCAACAUCCCAGCCCAAGGUGAUCAUAUCCACCUUCUCCUGCCGCAAUCCGACGCCAGAAAAUACGAUAUUCCGAGCUUGUCAUGCCCGAGCUGGCACCUUGCCAUGGAAACUAACGACACUGUCGGAUUCGAAACUGUUCCAAAAGAGUGUGAAAACUACGUGGAGCAAUACGUGUCAGGUGACCAAUACAAGAAAGAUUCGGCCGUCAUUAUUGAUCUAGCUUUACGCUACGCUAGAAACCUGAAACUCGACGGCGACGGCAAGGACAUUUGGGUCUUUGACAUAGAUGAAACAACACUCUCUAAUUUGCCUUACUAUGCUAAGCAUGGAUACGGGACUGAGCCGAGGGACACGACAUCGAUGAAGGAAUGGUUUGAGGAAAGCGAUGCACCAGCUGUGCCGGCGAGUCUUAAGUUGUACAAUGAGUUAUUGCGUCUUGAGAUAAAGGUUGCCUUCCUCACAGGAAAAUCUGAAAGCUUGAAAGAUGCUACAGAAAUCAAUCUAAAGAAAUCUGGGUACACCAAAUGGGAGAAACUUAUCCUCAAGGGAUCAGAGUCUCCAUCAAAGCUAUAAAAUGUGAAAUUCAAAUCAAAUGAAAGAAGAAAGCUCGAGGAGAUUGAUGGAUACAGAAUUAUUGGAAACAUAGCAAAAGAAAUUGACAGAAAGGGAACAAAGGGAGAAAAUACACUACUUUCUUUCACAUCAUCAAGAAAUUUAAUCAUGAAACUA
This is an RNA transcript of Pistacia vera, 812 nucleotides long. It is a transcript of the gene named acid phosphatase 1-like, with no coding region annotated. NCBI's taxonomy places the organism in Eukaryota, Viridiplantae, Streptophyta, Magnoliopsida, Sapindales, Anacardiaceae. The transcript is spliced from 4 exons. The record is from RefSeq and is a predicted model, not a curated record.